AGCGAACGCUGGCGGCAGGCCUAACACAUGCAAGUCGAACGAACUCUUCGGAGUUAGUGGCGGACGGGUGAGUAACACGUGGGAACGUGCCUUUAGGUUCGGAAUAACUCAGGGAAACUUGUGCUAAUACCGAAUGUGCCCUUCGGGGGAAAGAUUUAUCGCCUUUAGAGCGGCCCGCGUCUGAUUAGCUAGUUGGUGAGGUAAAGGCUCACCAAGGCGACGAUCAGUAGCUGGUCUGAGAGGAUGAUCAGCCACAUUGGGACUGAGACACGGCCCAAACUCCUACGGGAGGCAGCAGUGGGGAAUCUUGCGCAAUGGGCGAAAGCCUGACGCAGCCAUGCCGCGUGAAUGAUGAAGGUCUUAGGAUUGUAAUAUUCUUUCACCGGGGACGAUAAUGACGGUACCCGGAGAAGAAGCCCCGGCUAACUUCGUG
Molecule: ribosomal RNA, 433 nt
Filed under: uncultured bacterium
Lineage: Bacteria
Description: partial 16S ribosomal RNA
Rfam family: Bacterial small subunit ribosomal RNA
Source: RNAcentral